RNAcentral lists this long non-coding RNA (203 nucleotides) under Mytilus galloprovincialis (Mediterranean mussel). Lineage: Eukaryota; Metazoa; Mollusca; Bivalvia; Mytilida; Mytilidae. The record is from RNAcentral.
GCUAAGGCUCCGCGUUGAAGGCCGUACAUUGACCUAUAAUGGUUUACUUUUAUAAAUUGUUAUUUGAAUUUAGAGUUGUCUCAUUGGCCCUCACACCACAUCUUAAUGUAUCUAUUAUGUACAGAUGCUGACAGUUAGUUCAAAGUUAAAACAGACUAAUAAAAUAAAUCAUGCAUCUAGGACUCAAUUAUCAAUCAGUACAC